RNAcentral lists this ribosomal RNA (482 nucleotides) under uncultured bacterium. Its description in RNAcentral is "partial 16S ribosomal RNA". It matches the Rfam family "Bacterial small subunit ribosomal RNA", at positions 30 to 507 of the family's 1533-position model. The record is from RNAcentral.
AUUGAACGCUGGCGGCAUGCUUUACACAUGCAAGUCGAGCGGUAACAGGCCGCAAGGUGCUGACGAGUGGCGAACGGGUGAGUAAUGCAUCGGAACGUGCCCAGCCGUGGGGGAUAACUACUCGAAAGAGUAGUUAAUACCGCAUACGAUCUAUGGAUGAAAGCGGGGGACCGUAAGGCCUCGCGCGAUUGGAGCGGCCGAUGUCAGAUUAGGUAGUUGGUGGGGUAAAGGCUCACCAAGCCAACGAUCUGUAGCUGGUCUGAGAGGACGACCAGCCACACUGGGACUGAGACACGGCCCAGACUCCUACGGGAGGCAGCAGUGGGGAAUUUUGGACAAUGGGCGCAAGCCUGAUCCAGCAAUGCCGCGUGCAGGAAGAAGGCCUUCGGGUUGUAAACUGCUUCUGUACGGAACGAAACGGCUCUGGUUAAUACCCGGGGCUAAUGACGGUACCGUAAGAAUAAGCACCGGCUAACUACGUG